UGGGGAAUAUUGGUCAAUGGACGGAAGUCUGAACCAGCCAAGUCGCGUGAAGGAUGACUGCCCUAUGGGUUGUAAACUUCUUUUGUAUUGGGAGAAUAAGCCUUACGUGUAAGGUGAUGACUGUACAAUACGAAUAAGCUCCGGCUAACUACGUGCCAGCAGCCGCGGUAAUACGUAGGGAGCAAGCGUUAUCCGGAAUUAUUGGGUGUAAAGGGUGCGUAGACGGGAUAAUAAGUUAGUUGUGAAAUCCCUCGGCUCAACUGAGGAACUGCAACUAAAACUGUUAUUCUUGAGUGUUGGAGAGGAAAGUGGAAUUCCUAGUGUAGCGGUGAAAUGCGUAGAUAUUAGGAGGAACACCAGUGGCGAAGGCGGCUUUCUGGACGAUAACUGACGCUGAGGCGCGAAAGCGUGGGGAGCAAACA
Molecule: ribosomal RNA, 422 nt
Filed under: uncultured bacterium
Lineage: Bacteria
Description: bacterial SSU rRNA
Rfam family: Bacterial small subunit ribosomal RNA
Source: RNAcentral